AGAAAGGUGGCUCAGCGGUUAAGAGCACUGAAUGAUGAUGUUCCAGAGGACCUGGGUUCAAUUCCCAGAAUUCCCA
Transfer RNA from Neotoma lepida (desert woodrat), 76 nucleotides. It matches the Rfam family "tRNA". From Rfam's summary of the family: Transfer RNA (tRNA) molecules are approximately 80 nucleotides in length. The record is from Rfam. NCBI's taxonomy places the organism in Eukaryota, Metazoa, Chordata, Mammalia, Rodentia, Cricetidae.